This 253-nucleotide ribosomal RNA is filed under the name uncultured bacterium. Its description in RNAcentral is "partial 16S ribosomal RNA". It matches the Rfam family "Bacterial small subunit ribosomal RNA", at positions 524 to 776 of the family's 1533-position model. The record is from RNAcentral.
UACAGAGGUCUCAACCGUUGUUCGGAUUCAUUGGGCGUAAAGGGUGCGUAGGCGGCGGAGUCAGUCAGGUGUGAAAUCUCGGGGCUCAACCCCGAAACUGCACUUGAUACUGCUUCGCUCGAGUACUGGAGAGGAGACUGGAAUUUACGGUGUAGCAGUGAAAUGCGUAGAUAUCGUAAGGAAGACCAGUGGCGAAGGCGAGUCUCUGGACAGUUACUGACGCUGAGGCACGAAGGCCAGGGGAGCAAACGGG